UCCACAGUAGCUCAGUGGUAGAGCUAUCGGCUGUUAACCGAUCAGUCGUAGGUUCGAGUCCUACCUGUGGAGCCA
Molecule: transfer RNA, 75 nt
Filed under: Staphylococcus aureus
Lineage: Bacteria; Bacillati; Bacillota; Bacilli; Caryophanales; Staphylococcaceae
Also listed under: 6 other names
Description: tRNA-Asn(gtt)
Rfam family: tRNA
About the family: Transfer RNA (tRNA) molecules are approximately 80 nucleotides in length. Their secondary structure includes four short double-helical elements and three loops (D, anti-codon, and T loops).
Source: RNAcentral